Pleomassaria siparia CBS 279.74 is the source of this 93-nucleotide non-coding RNA. The record is from the annotation of a GenBank genome assembly. NCBI's taxonomy places the organism in Eukaryota, Fungi, Ascomycota, Dothideomycetes, Pleosporales, Pleomassariaceae.
GCCGUGAUAGUGUAGCGGUAUCACAGUGCCUUGUGGAUUCGAGUCAAUCGGUUCAAUACGGCACUAACCUGGGUUCGACUCCCAGUCGCGGCA